UCCCGGCACGGGGAGGUAGUGACGAAAAAUAACGAUACGGGACUCAUCCGAGGCCCCGUAAUCGGAAUGAGCACACUUUAAAGACUUUAACGAGUAUCCAUUGGAGGGCAAGUCUGGUGCCAGCAGCCGCGGUAAUUCCAGCUCCAAUAGCGUAUAUUAAAGUUGCUGCGGUUAAAAAGCUCGUAGUUGGACUUGUGUCCCGCGCUGUCGGUUCACCGUUCGUCGGUGUCUAACUGGCAUGCCGCGCGGACGUCCUGCUGGUGGAUGCGGUCGGCCGCGGGCUUCUGGCUCGCGCGUCGGCGGUCCGGUGCAAUCCUACCGCGGUGCUCUUCACCGAGUGUCGAGGUGGGCCAGCACGUUUACUUUGAACAAAUUAGAGUGCUUAAAGCAGGCAUGGGUUCGCCUGAAUACUGUGUGCAUGGAAUAAUGGAAUAGGACCUCGGUUCUAUUUCGUUGGUUUCCGGAACCCGAGGUAAUGAUUAAUAGGGACAGACGGGGGCAUUCGUAUUGCGACGUUAGAGGUGAAAUUCUUGGAUCGUCGCAAGACGAACCUAAGCGAAAGCAUUUGCCAUGAGUGUUUUCAUUAAUCAAGAACGAAAGUUAGAGGUUCGAAGGCGAUCAGAUACCGCCCUAGUUCUAACCAUAAACGAUGCCGCCAGCGAUCCGCCACNUUCCUAANAUGACUCGGCGGGCAGCCCCCGGGAAACCAAAGCUUUUGGGUUCCGGGGGAAGUAUGGUUGCAAAGCUGAAACUUAAAGGAAUUGACGGAAGGGCACCACCAGCAGUGGAGCCUGCGGCUUAAUUUGACUCAACACGGGAAACCUCACCAGGCCCGGACACCGGANGGAUUGACAGAUUGAGAGCUCUUUCUUGAUUCGGUGGGUGGUGGUGCAUGGCCGUUCUUA
This 905-nucleotide ribosomal RNA is filed under the name Hypocyrtus scythrus. RNAcentral describes it as "SSU rRNA". It matches the Rfam family "Eukaryotic small subunit ribosomal RNA", at positions 449 to 1296 of the family's 1831-position model. Lineage: Eukaryota; Metazoa; Arthropoda; Insecta; Phasmatodea; Pseudophasmatidae. The record is from RNAcentral.